This 341-nucleotide unclassified non-coding RNA is filed under the name Hevea brasiliensis (rubber tree). The record is from RNAcentral. Lineage: Eukaryota; Viridiplantae; Streptophyta; Magnoliopsida; Malpighiales; Euphorbiaceae.
GACGAAUCUUGAAUCUGAACUGCUAUUGUUUCAAGCAAUAAUCAUACUUCCUGAAGCACAAAUGUUUUUUCAGAGGCUUGGAAGUGUAGAACACAAACAAACUUGAUGGAUGUAUAAUAUGUUCGAAAUAGCCUUGUGGAUUUUGACAGCAGGCCGCGAAUCCCAUCCCCAACAAAACAACACGCUACUUAGCAUCCGUAACCUAUCAUCCCUAUAGCCAAAUUGUCCAUUACAUGCUACCGCACAGAAAUUACAUUCAUCAACCGAAAUCCGAAAAAACUCAUGUCCUGGGCACUAGAUAAACCCUAGCCUUGAUGACUGAUCCAUUUCCAAGCUUGAAC